GUUCUCGCUUCAGCGGUAUAUGUACUUAAAUUGGAACGAUACAGAGAAGAAUAGUAUGCCCUCUGAGCAAGGAUGACGCGCAGAAUUGUGAAGCGUUCCAUAUUUUU
Molecule: small nuclear RNA, 107 nt
Filed under: Trichobilharzia regenti
Lineage: Eukaryota; Metazoa; Platyhelminthes; Trematoda; Strigeidida; Schistosomatidae
Source: RNAcentral